This 505-nucleotide ribosomal RNA is filed under the name Lygodactylus angolensis (Angola dwarf gecko). RNAcentral's name for it is "partial large subunit ribosomal RNA". It matches the Rfam family "Bacterial large subunit ribosomal RNA", at positions 1854 to 2605 of the family's 2925-position model. Lineage: Eukaryota; Metazoa; Chordata; Lepidosauria; Squamata; Gekkonidae. The record is from RNAcentral.
CCGACCUGCCCAGUGAAAACUUUUUAACGGCCGCGGUAUCCUAACCGUGCAAAGGUAGCGCAAUCACUUGCCCCUUAAAUAGGGGCUAGUAUGAACGGUUUAAUGAGGGCUCAACUGUCUCCUGAAGCCAAUCAAUGAACUUGCUAACUCAGUACAAACGCUGAAAUAUAACCAUAAGACGAGAAGACCCUGUGGAACUUAAAGUAGUCUGUUGACCCCCCCACCCCUCAACAACAUACUUCAGUUGGGGCAACUUCGGGGUAAAGAAAAACCCCCACGAAAAUAGCUAACCGCUAUACACCUAGGCCCACACGCCACCGGCACAAUGUUCGACCCAGUACACAACUGAUCAUCGAACCAAGCUACCCCAGGGAUAACAGCGCUAUCCCCUUCAAGAGUCCUUAUCGCCAAGGGGGUUUACGACCUCGAUGUUGGAUCAGGACACCCAGGCGGUGCAGCCGCUGCCAAAGGUUCGUUUGUUCAACGAGUAAAGUCCUACGUGAUC